This 1025-nucleotide ribosomal RNA is filed under the name Rimora mangrovei. RNAcentral's name for it is "SSU rRNA". It matches the Rfam family "Eukaryotic small subunit ribosomal RNA", at positions 88 to 1123 of the family's 1831-position model. The record is from RNAcentral. Lineage: Eukaryota; Fungi; Ascomycota; Dothideomycetes; Pleosporales; Aigialaceae.
UGCGAAUGGCUCAUUAAAUCAGUUAUCGUUCAUUUGAUAGUACCUUACUACUUGGAUAACCGUGGUAAUUCUAGAGCUAAUACAUGCUAAAAACCCCGACUUCGGGAGGGGUGUAUUUAUUAGAUAAAAAACCAAUGCCCUUCGGGGCUCUUUGGUGAUUCAUGAUAACUUAACGGAUCGCAUGGCCUUGCGCCGGCGACGGUUCAUUCAAAUUUCUGCCCUAUCAACUUUCGAUGGUAAGGUAUUGGCUUACCAUGGUUUCAACGGGUAACGGGGGAUUAGGGUUCGACUCCGGAGAGGGAGCCUGAGAAACGGCUACCACAUCCAAGGAAGGCAGCAGGCGCGCAAAUUACCCAAUCCCGACACGGGGAGGUAGUGACAAUAAAUACUGAUACAGGGCUCUUUUGGGUCUUGUAAUUGGAAUGAGUACAAUUUAAAUCCCUUAACGAGGAACAAUUGGAGGGCAAGUCUGGUGCCAGCAGCCGCGGUAAUUCCAGCUCCAAUAGCGUAUAUUAAAGUUGUUGCAGUUAAAAAGCUCGUAGUUGAACCUUGGGCCUGGCUGGCCGGUCCGCCUCACCGCGUGCACUGGUUCGGCCGGGCCUUUCCUUCUGGAGAGCCCCAUGCCCUUCACUGGGUGUGCGGGGGAACCAGGACUUUUACUUUGAAAAAAUUAGAGUGUUCAAAGCAGGCCUUUGCUCGAAUACAUUAGCAUGGAAUAAUAGAAUAGGACGUGCGGUCCUAUUUUGUUGGUUUCUAGGACCGCCGUAAUGAUUAAUAGGGAUAGUCGGGGGCAUCCGUAUUCAAUUGUCAGAGGUGAAAUUCUUGGAUUUAUUGAAGACGAACUACUGCGAAAGCAUUUGCCAAGGAUGUUUUCAUUAAUCAGUGAACGAAAGUUAGGGGAUCGAAGACGAUCAGAUACCGUCGUAGUCUUAACCGUAAACUAUGCCGACUAGGGAUCGGGCGAUGUUAUUAUUUUGACUCGCUCGGCACCUUACGAGAAAUCAAAGUUUUUGGGUCUGGGGGAG